CCUACGGGGGACAGCAGUGGGGGAUAUUGCACAAUGGGGGAAACCCUGAUGCAGCGACGCCGCGUGUGGGAAGACGGUCCUCUGGAUUGUAAACCACUGUCCCCAGGGACGAAGAUGACGGUACCUGGGGAGGAAGCUCCGGCUAACUACGUGCCAGCAGCCGCGGUACUACGUAGGGAGCAAGCGUUGUCCGGAAUUACUGGGUGUAAGGGGAGCGUAGGCGGGAUGGCAAGUUGGGUGUUAAAUCUACCGGCUAAACUGGGAGUCGCACUCAAAACUGCUAGUCUUGAGUGAAGUAGAGGCAGGCGGAAUUCCUGGUGUAGCGGUGAAAUGCGUAGAGAUUAGGAGGAACACCAGUGGCGAAGGCGGCCUGCUGGGCUUUUACUGACGCUGAGGCUCGAAAGUGUGGGGAGCAAACAGGAUUAGAUACCCUAGUAGUC
This 440-nucleotide ribosomal RNA is filed under the name uncultured bacterium. RNAcentral describes it as "partial 16S ribosomal RNA". It matches the Rfam family "Bacterial small subunit ribosomal RNA", at positions 338 to 795 of the family's 1533-position model. The record is from RNAcentral.